CCAUGAAAAAUUUACUGAGGCAUCAAUGGCACUGUGAACAGGGGAAUUUGGGGCACCUCUGUAUACGCUCUUCCAACAUCUUAUUUCUCUUUGGAGAUCCAUGUGAAUCUGAAACAUUGAAUUCACCUCCAGAUUCAUGGGAUGAUGUACAUGAUGAAGCUAAGAUAAUCAAUGCAGUCAAUUCCUGGCCUUAAGAGACUGGGCGUGUUGCUGGAAAUGUUGACAACCAUCUUUUGACCACAAAGAGAGAUGGAUUUUCGAUAAAGUUGACACUGUAAAAAGUAGAAUGGACAGACUGAAAGAAAUCGUUUCUUUGCAUGAGAAGGUUGUGUGCAGAACAUAGCCCUGCAUUCAUUGUCAGGAUGGACAUGCUGGCCAUGGGAAACCAGCGCAUAC
This is a long non-coding RNA of Molossus molossus (Pallas's mastiff bat), 396 nucleotides long. RefSeq lists it as uncharacterized. Lineage: Eukaryota; Metazoa; Chordata; Mammalia; Chiroptera; Molossidae. The transcript is spliced from 3 exons. The record is from RefSeq and is a predicted model, not a curated record.